GACAGAGGGUGCAAACGUUGCUCGGAAUCACUGGGCGUAAAGGGCGUGUAGGCGGGAAGGAAAGUCAGAUGUGAAAUCCCUGGGCUCAACCCAGGAACUGCAUUUGAAACUCCCUUUCUUGAGUGUCGGAGAGGAAAGCGGAAUUCCUGGUGUAGAGGUGAAAUUCGUAGAUAUCAGGAGGAACACCGGUGGCGAAGGCGGCUUCUGGACGA
This 212-nucleotide ribosomal RNA is filed under the name uncultured bacterium. Its description in RNAcentral is "partial 16S ribosomal RNA". It matches the Rfam family "Bacterial small subunit ribosomal RNA", at positions 524 to 736 of the family's 1533-position model. The record is from RNAcentral.